GUGUUUGCUUCAGCAGCACAUAUACUAAAAUUGGAAUAAUACAGAGAAGAUUAGCAUGGCCCCUAAGCAAGGAUGAUACCACAAAUUUGUGAAGCCUUCCAUAUUUUU
Molecule: small nuclear RNA, 108 nt
Filed under: Vulpes vulpes (red fox)
Lineage: Eukaryota; Metazoa; Chordata; Mammalia; Carnivora; Canidae
Also listed under: 1 other name
Source: RNAcentral